Molecule: ribosomal RNA, 468 nt
Filed under: uncultured bacterium
Lineage: Bacteria
Description: partial 16S ribosomal RNA
Rfam family: Bacterial small subunit ribosomal RNA
Source: RNAcentral
GACGAACGCUGGCGGCGUGCUUAACACAUGCAAGUCGAACGGAAAGGCCCUGCUUUUGUGGGGUGCUCGAGUGGCGAACGGGUGAGUAACACGUGAGUAACCUGCCCUUGACUUUGGGAUAACUUCAGGAAACUGGGGCUAAUACCGGAUAGGAGCUCCUGCUGCAUGGUGGGGGUUGGAAAGUUUCGGCGGUUGGGGAUGGACUCGCGGCUUAUCAGCUUGUUGGUGGGGUAGUGGCUUACCAAGGCGUUGACGGGCAGCCGGCCUGAGAGGGUGACCGGGGACAUUGGGACUGAGAUACGGCCCAGACUCCUACGGGAGGCAGCAGUGGGGAAUAUUGCACAAUGGGCGGAAGCCUGAUGCAGCAACGCCGCGUGCGGGAUAACGGCCUUCGGGUUGUAAACCGCUUUCGCCUGUGACGAAGCGUGAGUGACGGUAAUGGGUAAAGAAGCACCGGCUAACUACGUG